This 468-nucleotide ribosomal RNA is filed under the name uncultured bacterium. RNAcentral's name for it is "partial 16S ribosomal RNA". It matches the Rfam family "Bacterial small subunit ribosomal RNA", at positions 28 to 507 of the family's 1533-position model. The record is from RNAcentral.
GACGAACGCUGGCGGCGUGCUUAACACAUGCAAGUCGAACGGAAAGGCCCUGCUUUUGUGGGGUGCUCGAGUGUUGAACGGUUGAUUAACACGUGAUUAACCUGCCCUUGACUUUGGGAUAACUUCAGGAAACUGGGGCUAAUACCGGAUAGGAGCUCCUGCUUCAUGGUGGGGGUUGGAAAGUUUCGGCUGUUGGGGAUGGACUCGCGGCUUAUCAGCUUGUUGGUGGGGUAGUGGCUUAACAAGGCUUUGACUGGUAGCCGGACUGAGAGGGUGACCGGCCACAGUGGGACUGAGAUACGGACAAGACUCAUACGGGAGGCAGAAGUGGGAAAUAGGGAACAAUGGGCGGAAGCCUGAUGCAGAAACGCCGCGUGCGGGAUGACUGCAUGGGGGUUGUAAACCGAUAUCGCCUGUGACGAAGAGUGAGUGACGGUAAUAUGUAAAGAAGCACCGGCUAACUACGUG